This 44-nucleotide non-coding RNA is filed under the name Alexandrium minutum. Lineage: Eukaryota; Dinophyceae; Gonyaulacales; Pyrocystaceae. The record is from RNAcentral.
UUUUUUUUUUUUUUUUUUUUUUUUUUUUUUUUUUUUUUUUUUUC